Molecule: long non-coding RNA, 12133 nt
Filed under: Cricetulus griseus (Chinese hamster)
Lineage: Eukaryota; Metazoa; Chordata; Mammalia; Rodentia; Cricetidae
Description: lncRNA (ENSCGRG00015041106.1)
Source: RNAcentral
CAGGGUUCAAAAUGAAAUUAAUUUCCAUUACCUCCCACAAUAAAUCACCUCACUCAACACAUGUAUGAAAUUCCAUUCAGGAGACUCAAGUCAUUCUGGGGCCACACAGAAAAGCAUACACACUUCAGCUUGCACUUAGUUAAUUUCUCUGCUUGAAAGAGCUUUGAUGGGACUCCGAAAACAGGUUCCUAGAGAGCCAAUGGAGAAGGAGACAUCCCUAUAACAUAAGGUAGCUGGCCUGGAGAUCUUGGGUUUAUGCAGAGAAGAUGGAGUUUUGUUUUUUUUUUUUUUUUUUUUUUUUUUUUUUUUCCUGAAACAUUUUCUGAAGUCCCUCCGAUUUUGGCUUUCUUAUUACAAACCCAAAUGCACAGGGCUGGUGAUAGUGGCUUCUCUGACAUCAGAAUCAAAUAGUAAAUACUCUAAAGCCAUUUGGGAAGAUGUGUGUGGCUAGCCAUUCUGAUUCCUGGACUUUUUAUAAAAGAAACCACCAAAUGAGCCUAAGUGCUGCGUACAGCAGGAUAACGAAGAAAGUAAAUAUCAAGUUAUGUUACUGUGUCCAAGGAGUUUGCAAAGAUGAUGAACAUGACUAAUAUGCAUCAAAUCAUGGGCAAGGAAUUUAAGUGAGAGAGGACCAGAAUCUCCUACUUGAGCUGGGCCUUACAGAGAUUCGAGAAUAUAAUUGGGACUGCUACUAUUGAUUGGACCCCACUCCUUACAAGGUCUCUUGAAGGUUGUGAUGUGACCAAGGAUAAUGAAGUACCUCAAAAUGGCAAAGGGAAUAUAGCUCAAAAAGAUCAGUAGUUACCUAUAAAACUCUGGAGCCUAGACGUGUCAUAUGUCACUCUUGUCACAACUCAUUGGUUAAGUGAAGUCACAGCCCCACCCAAGCAGAGAGAUUCAAUGUGGAGAAUCCUCUUAUGCAUAAAGGAAAUUCUAUUUAAGCUGAGAUCUAUAGCAGAGGACCCCAUCACUCAUGAGUAGGAGUUAGGGAAAGUAUAAGUUUUUGGGUAAAUUGAAGAGCAAGAACAAGAACUCAAAGGGUGAAAGAGACUAUGCCAGAUCCCUCUCUAGGUACUUAAGCUAAUACAGGUAGCCUAUCUGGAAGAAAAAAUGACAUGUACCAUGAGUUGAGUUUGGAUGUACUUAUGCUUCCUGUGCACCAAGGAUUGAAUGCACCAAAAAACUUAUCAAAUUGUACCACUGCAAAUAUGCUGCCAAUAAACUGCCUGGCAUCAAACUCCUGAAGUUUGAUCCAGCCUGGCAGACUAAGUCAGGCUGAACUGAGUUUUCAUUACCACCUCUUCAUGGUUCAUUUUCCUGACUGCAGUGAUACCUGUGGGGACCCCUCAAUGGAUUUUUUAAAAAUUACCUUUAGAUUUAUUUAUUUCAUUUUAUGUAUAUGACUGUUUUGCUUGUGUAUCUAUAUAUGUACCACUGUGUGUCUGGUGCUCGGGAAGGCUAGAAGAAAGCAUCAGAUCCUCUGCAACUAGAUUUAAGUUACAGAUAGUUGUGGGCCACCAUGUGGGUGCUGGUAAUCAAAUGUGGGUCCUCUGCAAGAUCAACAAUGUUAUGAACCACUGAACUAUCAUCUCUUCAGCCAAAACACAUCUUAUGUGAAAGACACAGCCAUUUACUAAACAGUUUGAUAAUUUUUAUAUUCUCUCCUUCACUUACUCACCCAGAGAUGUGCCCCUCCCUGGCAUAUUUUAUCCUAAGGACACCUAGUUAUCGAUUCAGUAUAUCUUUUAUCCAUUCAUCACGGUCUCUGAGUAGACAGAUGUCUAUGAAAUACUUUCCUAGAAAAUUAAGAUGAUAAUUUACUUAAUACAGAAUGUGAGGGAAGGGGUUAUAAGUUUCACUAGCCACCAAGAAAGGCUUUGAAAGCAAGAAGGUAGGUAAGGAGAGAUCCAAAUUCUGAGUUGAUAAUCACCUUCAGUACCUGUAAACCAAGCUCCAUUCAGAUGUAGAAUUUAUCUUCUGGACUUUUUAACUGAGCCAAGAAGACCAAUACAAUCUAUGUAUUGGACCAGACAAUCCUCAUAGACUUGUGUCAGACAAACUUAACAUUUCAGAAAGUGUUCUUUAACUAAAGAAUUUCAGUGUAAGCACCUUCAAUUUGUCAUCAACUAUUUACUGAACACACAGAGUAUACAGAGCUAAGCACUAUAGAUAAGCUGGUGAAUAAAACCAAGUGCCUGUCCAUGAGAAGCUGACAGUUCAGUGAAGGAGACAGGUAAUGAACAAGCAAAUAUACUCUUCAUCAAAUGAUGCUGAACACCAUUUGCAUAGAAAAACCAUACAGGAAUUCUAAGGGUGAUUAAGGAAAACUUGCCAAGAUAACAACACUUAAUGGAAAUAAGAAAGGAUAUUUAGAAUAAGGAAACAUGAAGCAGGAACAAAAAAAAAAAAAGGCAUGAGUUGGAAUCAUUCUAGGAAUACUCCUAGAACCACAGGGCAGUGUGAUAGAGAGUAAUACAAGAGAAAGGAGGAAAGAAGCAAGAAUAUCUAAGUGAUGGGAAAGAAGAGAGGACUUUCUUUAGCAUGAGAGUGAAGUGGGGCAGUGAUGAAAGACUUUGAUCCAAGAGUGGAAUAAUCCUAAUUGUGGUUCCUGGAGAACAAGCUGGCAACUGUGUUGAGAAUAGAUUGAGUGCAUGCAAGGAUGAAAGCAGAGAGCCUCUUCUUGUGGCUCUUUGGGGUGAAAAAUAAUGAUACUUAGUCCAGCAGAACCUGCAAUGAUGAGUGGUGAAUUCUAGUUAUAUUUUGAAAAACAAGGAAAUUUGUUAUUGAAUUUUAUGUAGAUAGGGUACAAAGGAAAUAAUAGAGUAAGAAAUGGCUCCAAGAAUUAUUUCUUGAACAAUUGGAAGAAAUUUACUGAAUUAGGAAAAGUCAAGAGCUUUAUUUAUUGACUGACUGACUGAUUGAUUGAUUGAUUUACUUCCCAACUUACUUAUUUCUAAAAGUACUGGAAACUGAAACAAGAAGCUCAUAUAUGUUCAGCAAGCACCCUACAAUUUAGCUAUAUCCCCAUCACAGGAGAUGUGGUUUUUAUAUAGAAGUUUCUCCUUAUUUAGUAUUCAAGUCAAAUAUUUGAUAGACAGUUGGAUAUGUGAAUUUAAGUUUCAAGGAAGAAAACAGACUAUAAACUCAUCUGUAGAUAAAGAAAAUUAUCUCACAUGUGAACUAGUUUUAUAUUUGGGUAUUUAUAAUGACCUUCACCAUUGUAAAGCAUUUAUGGAAAACUGAAGAUUAUAGGGAAAUUGUGGGGUCUCCAGUAGACAUUUAUUAAAAAUGCUUUAAUGCAGAUUAUCUGGGAGAAACUAGUUAGAAAAUGCAUUUGCUAUGGAAUGCUAACCCCCAGAAGAAAUGAGAUAGUGGCAUUUAAACAUCUUAAGGGUAUCAGGUGCUAAGGUGUAGUAACUUGCAAUCAAUACCUGUAAUUUGAUGAAUAGGUAACUAAAUCCACCCACCUGAAUCCAGUCUUAGUUUUUUUUCCAUAAUAGAUUAAAUUAAAAACAAAAGAAAGCUUUUAACCUACCUAUUCUGGUGAAGCACAGAACUAUAUCUUUGACAAACCUUAAAAUAUAACAACAACAAGCAAAGAGGUACUUAGAGGGUUCAGACAGAAGGUGGCUAAUUAUUGAGCAGGGCUGGAGCCAACAAGGACAAUGGCAUUCUCACACAUUGAGCAAUGCUCAAUUCACCUUCCCUGGGGAAUCAUGGCUUCUAGAACUGAAGCCCGGGCCUCUGCCUCCCAGAUGGUGUGUCUGCUAGUAUAUCUUUGACAAGUGUCAACAUUUUGUAGGCAACUACAACAUUUCAAUAAUAUUAUUCCAGCCUUUUAAACAAUGUCCUUGAAGAUAAUUUUAAAUCACCAUCCAUUUGAACAGAAAUCGGUGUGUUUCUGAGGAUUUUUUAACUUUCUCAAAAUGCAUGCUAUUUAUUUGCUCAUUGCAAAUAAAUUCAUAUCAAGUACCUAUGUUGAGAGAGAAAUGAAAAAUAUAGUAGGAAAAAAUGCAAAGUCACUGACCUUACGAAUUUUAUGUACUAAUGAAGGAAAUAUAAAUCAAUUCACUCUUCAACUCUUGUCUGAAAAAAAAUUAAAAGUUGAACAUCCAAAGCAAUGAUUCCAUUGUCUAUAAAGAAUUUAAUGAAGCAAUAUAUAAUGAACCUAAAUUAAUUUCUGGACUCUAAAACUGUCAAAGACUUUUAUUUCAUAAUAUCCAGUACCGUAACAGCUUCACUCAAUUAUACCAACUGUUGUGGUUUAAAUGUAAAAUGUCUCCUACAGGCUCAUGGGUUUGAACACUUAAUCCAUAGCUGACAGUGCUGUUUUAGAAGGCUGUGGAACCUUUAGGAUGUACACCCUUGCUAGAGGAAGUUACUGCUAAUGCCCACUCCUUGAGGCUUUAACCCGCUCUGCUUCCUUCCUCUCUUUGCUUCUAAUCUCCCACAACAGAUGCUGUGACCUACAGCAAACUGCAGUACCAAAGUAGGAUCCCCAGUCACCAUUCCUUCCCUGUCAUGGAAUGCUGAACUAAAAUAAACCCUUCCCUCUGUUUUGCUUCUUGUAAGCAUUUAAUUGAGGUGAGAGAAAAAAAAAAGUAACUGACAUACAACCUACUCCAUCUGUGGAAUCAACCACUCAACUCAAAUUACAGAUUCCAUCAGAAGAUUUGAACUUUGGACUAAAAAAAUUGAAUCUAAUGCAUUCCCUGUAUAACGUUUUUGCAGCUACUUUGGUUCAAUCCCUACAUCAAUCCUCUUGAGUAGGUGUUUUUAUCUCAUUGUAUAGAAACAAAGCAGAGAGGCAAUGAUCCCUUUAAGGUGGGAUAAAAGUAGACAAAUUAGAAGCCCUUCCAUUAAGAGAGAGGGUCUACAUACAAGCCUUUUUGAAGCUAUGAGUGUAAUACAGUUGGUAGAGGCUUGAAUAGAAUGCUUAAAGGCCCAGUACACUGUAAAACUGAAAAUGGUGCCACAUGCUUGUAAUCAAGAAAAGCGGAGAUGAAGGAAGAAAGGUAAUAAAAGUACAUUGGAGGGGAUGGUAAGAAAAUUGUAAGUUCAAGUUGAUCCUCAGUUACUUAGAAAGUUCAAUCUAGCUUGGGUUAUAUGGGACCUUGUCUGUAAUAAAUAUAUAAAUUAAAAAAAUCUUCUUAGAAGUGCAACUCCCCAAUGUUAAUGAAUUCCAAACUGAGAAAUAAAAGACUUUCUUACUCUAAAAUCAGAUCUUUAACCACCCCAUCAGCAUGGGUGGUAACAACAACAAAUGAAUCCUAAAUAUGGGCUGGUCCAUAACAGUCUUGAUACAGACAGCCACCUGUCUCAUUAAUCUUGCUUUGUGUUCAGGGAGUUUGAACAGCAGCCCUGUGCACACUGGAUUCCAGUUGGGUAUGUCCAGUGGCAAUACCCACAAGAGACAACAAGAGCUGGAGGGAAGGAAAAAAAGGAGUACAUUUAAUCUUUUUUAAAAUACCAUUCUGUCAUAUCAUAACUUAGUCACUAUCAGCAUUUUUUACGAAGGCCAUGGAUAGUGUAUUACCUACUCUUUUAAAUGUUGUGAUAAAAAUUCUUGACAAAGAUAAUAAGGCAUGAAAAGUAUAUUUUAGCUCACUAUUUGAAAUGGUUUGUCCAUCAUGGGAGAGAGGGCAUGGCAGGGCAGAAAAAUUCAUGUCACAGAGGGUCAGGAAACAGAGACAAGGAGGACACUAGAGAACAAUUCAUUUUCUGCCUUUAUCCUUCCCCUCAUUUAGAGUAUCUGUGCCCCUAGGCCAAAGAAUGAUGCCACCUGCACUCAGGACUUAUCUUUCCCCUCAGUUAGUCAUCUUUCUAAUGCCCUUAUAGGCACACCCAAUGGUGUGACUCAGUCUCCUAGGAAAUUCUACAUGUAAUCAGGUUGACAAUGAAGCAGUCACAGAUGGCCCCCUCCUGGCUUCACAGCCCUAAAUUCAAGUAAUCACUCAGUUCAUGCUUCUUCAGACCCAAGGUUGAUAAUGGCUCCAGGGCUAGGCUCUUAAUAGAAACAAGGUGUUUAACUGUUUCAUCUUGUCCACAUAUCCAUAGUAAUCUCUUCAUCACAUCUUCCUGAAGUAACCCCAUCACGGGGCCAUCUGUUUCCUAUUGGGACCCUGAUUACUACAGCUUGAGAAAUGGAACUAAAGAACUAGAUGGGCAAAAAGUAUUUCCUCUAAAAAAGAAUUAACUUAUAUGACACUAACCAACCCUGAACAGAGACCAGUGCAUAUAUUCAGUACAGAAAAAUCUAUGAGAUUCUUUUCUUAUUCUUCCCUAAGGAUAUAAUUUAUCUCCCAUUCUCCUCUAGCACUGUCAGAAAGACAAAGUCACUUUAGCCAUACUGGGAACUUCUGCUUUCCGUUUGAUAUUUCUACAUCUAAAAGUUUGAAAUUUUCAAUAAAACCCAAGACCAGAACAGAUGUUAACAUUUUAGUAUUAAGCUUUAAUAUAAUCUCUUUUGGCAACACUAAUGAGGUCUGAUGAUUGUAAAGCUGAGAGUAAAAUAAAAGAAUGCUGGAUUUAUUUUAGAAUGAUGGAACAUAUUGAAGUCACAAACUAUUAUCUCAAAGGAGGCCACCAGAAAGAGAGUCAGACAGAAGUUCAUAAGAUGGGAUCUAUUAUCACGGGUCUCCCUAUUCAACCAUCUUAAAAACUGGUGUGCUCAGAAAGCCAGUUAAAGCCUCCUAUGCUCUCCUUCAUUGACCAAAAUAAUUUCAGUUUUAGAAGGAGAUCUAAUGGAAAAAGGAAAUGUUUCCUUUGGAAAUAUUACACCAAUAUUUAUUGCACAGUAAAAUCUAGCAACAGUCUUGUCCUUGAGAUGGUUAGAGCACCUCCUCCUCCAUGACAGUUUAGCUCAUGUCACUGUCUCAGUUCUAUAGCUUCUAUAGUGUCUCAGCUCCUAGUACCACUUCUCAUUAUUCCCUCCUCCAUGUUCUAGUUUUAUUGUGCUUCUCUGUCAGUUUUUAGGAUGGCAUCUCACAAUUCAUGGAAUAAAGCAAACUCCUGAGGAGAUACAACCAAGGUUUGCCAUGCCCUUGUAGGUAUCUGUAGAUCCUGUCUUCACCCCUAAGAUUUACAUUUUCCACACCCUGGGUGCUCUACCUUUCAUGAUCUUCUCUAGAAGAUACAACCUAGUCUUUCUUUCUUUCUUUCUUUCUUUCUUUCUUUCUUUCUUUCUUUCUUCCUUCCUUUCUUUCUUUUCUUCCUUCCUUCCUUCCUUCCUUUCUUUCUUUCUUUCUUUCUUUCUUUCUUUCUUCCUUUUUUUCUUUCUUUCAGGGUUUUUUCCCUGCUGUCCUGUUUAUGAAAAUCAUUUCCAGCAUCCACGUUUGUUGAUAACUUUCUCAUGCACAAGAGACCAAGUUAAGUCACAUCUUGACUGAAACUUUGCCCCAACUUCAUCUCUGCAAUAGCCUUCUGAAAUGUAUCUGUUUUAGGUUUUAUUUAUCUACUAAAUCACUCAUUUUUGUUUAACAUCACAUCCUUCCAGAAAUAAGAAAUAAUAGUAAUUAUUUUAUAAUGUCCUCACCUAAAUCUUCAAACUAAGCUGUAUAUUUAGAAAUGAAAUAUUUGUUGAACAAUUACUGUAGCACUCAAUGACUUAUUUACAGAAGGUUUUAAUUCUCACAAUAGAAAGAAGCACUGUUAUCCUGUUUGUGGAUGAGGAAAGUGGACCUGAAAACAAAGAAAUCUUACUAAAGGUAGUACAGCUAAUAAUGUGGAAUUCAGAAACUUAUGCUCUGAUUUCACUGCACUUUUCACUAUAUUCAUAUAGAAAACCAAUUUAGCAAACUGUUAGCAUUCCCUUUUUACUUGAAGAUCAUGUUACAUAUUAUAAAGUGCUUUGUUAACACACCAUCCUCUUAUAGAUCACCAAUAAACCAAUAAAAUGGUUAAGGCAGGGAAGGGAGCCUCACUUUUGGAGGUGAAGGCUUAGAAAGAAUGACUUUUCCUAGGUCACCAAAACAAAAACCAGAGUCACCAAGAUGGAAACUCCUUUCUUGCAAACCAGUCCUCUUUUUAUACAGUCUUUUUUCCUACACCAAUACUGUAUUUCCUUCCUGGCAGGGAAUAAAUGUGUCUUAAAAACAACAGUAAUUUGUUAAGAGGCUCCCUGUGAGCUUCCCACACAUCUUGCUCUUUGGUACUGUCUUAGGCAUCAAGGAUCUGCUCUGCCCUGUUAGAACAGCUACAUCCUAAGCUGUACUAUAAUUCAACAAGCUAACACUCAAAUAUGACAUUCUAUCUUGAAUUUGUUUUCCUUUCUUAACCUAUACUGAAGUUUGAAAAAGCUUAAUUCAAUUCUAAUUUUUAAAAAUCAUGUGUCUAACUUUUCUUCAAAAAGAGGGGGCACGUCAUUACUUCCAUCACUGGAUCUGAGAAUAUGACUCCUACUUGCUGUGUCAUCUUCAAAGUUCCCAAUAUGAUUCUCACUACUGAAGAUGCCCCAUUGACAGAGCAAUACCACGUGAUACCACAUGACAGAGAAUGCAGGGUCCUUGUGCACAAACUUGCCUCUUUACCCCUUUUCUCAAGUAUAGAAGAGUAUCCAUUACAAAGACACUGGCAUCGGCUACUCAUGCUACCAUCCCCUUUAUGAUCCUCAUUCCAACUGUACUGUGAGUGCUCAGCAAAGAAGGCUAUUCCGUGGUGGAGACAGUUUUACCAGUUAGACUUUUGACCUCUGCUUUACCAGCCCAGCUUUCUGAGUAAGAGGCAACUAUGUGAUAGGAACAACAAGAAUAUUUCUUACUAAUGUUAUUUCAGUAAGCUGAGUCUAAUCUGAUUGUUUAUCUUUAAUAUGAAAAUGGUAUUUUCUAUACUAUUUAUAGGACUUUUCAAAUCUCCUACUUCACAAUGCUAUGCUAUGAGGUAACUACCAAUAAUAUACACCAGUUAUUUUAACAUAAUAGUCAUAUUAGUUUAUGGUUAAGGCAGGUUAACCUAAUAGACAUAACAGUUUUCCUUCUGAAUGUAUAAUUAAAAAUAUAUCCUGCUUUUCACAUAGGAGAAUAUCACUAUGCACUCACAUAGUGUUUUGGCUGCCCACAAAUCAAGUGUAUUUUCCAACUCUAUAGGAACUUCUUGAAUAAGUUGAGAGAGCCUUAAGCUAAUAGCUUGGAGACCUGACUAUGCCAUUUAUCUUCUUUUCUUCUCUACGCCUUGGAUUUUUUGAGAGUUUAAAGCAGUGCACUAGAGUCAAUACAUCUGUGAUUAUGAAUACAAAAGUAUACACUUGAAGAAUGUAAGUAACUGUGGUAAUAGAAAACCAGAGACCUUGGUGUUUUUAAAAGGUUUAUUGCUGACUAGCUGUAUGAUUUGGAGAGUCAUAUGGACAAUCUAUGGGUCUUUGUCCCAUUACCACAUGCCACUUCUGUGCUAUGUUUAUCUGUUUUUAAUCUGUCUAGCAUCAUUUGUUUUCAUAAUCCAUGGUCUUUGUAGGCAUGAAAGAUAUUAUCCAACCCUCAUCCAGGACCUAUCUGUAUUUAGCUAAUACCUGUCUUAGAGUGCCCGAACAUUACUGAAAGUCAAUGGCAUAGACAGAAAACAGUGCUGCACUCAUAGUUCUGACUUCCUGGUAAAGUCUAUGAUUCCAUGUACCACAUAUUACAGACACUACAGCUGGGUUCUGGCACAUGACUUUCCCCUAUCCACUUUUACCUUCCCUUCCAACACUGUCUUCAACUUAGCCUCACCAUGUGGCUUCCAACAUCUCCAAUCCCAAUCAAACUAUCCUUAUUUGAUCUCUGUCCCACUGUAAAAUCAGUCUGUGAAGCAGACAUAUGAAUAAAAAAAAAAACAGAACAAUAAGCUCCAACAACAAAAAGGCCCACAUGCACUAAUGGAUAACCUGUUACGAUAAAUCUUUCCGUCAAAAGCCGCCCGAUCCCUACCGCCACAUGGGCGGUCUCCACCAGCCGCCUGAGUUCUGCCCACCAUGUGGAUGGACAAAAUAAUACAGAGACAUAUUAGGUACAAUGCUGCUUGGCCAAUGACUAGGAUUCUCAUCUGCUAGCUCAGUCUUAAUUAUCAUAAAUCUAUAUAUGUUAUAAGACUUACCUUAUCGGACACCUUAUUGGUGUCCCUCCUUGCCGGUGGAUCACAUUGCACUGCUGGAGGAGAAAGAGGAAAAAGGGGAGCCCUUCCUCUUUCACUUGCUUAAAUAUGUCUCCUUGCUAUGUCACUUCCUGCCUGGAACACCACAUCUCUACUACAUUUCCCAGAAUUCUCUUUGACUCCUAGUCCUAUCUAACUUGCUGUCUCAUUGGCCAAACAGUACCUUAUUUAACAAUCAAUAAGAUAAACUGACAAUGCUCCAGCAUAUGUCUCCACAAAAUUGGAACAAUUUUUCAAAUAUUAUAACAUAAAGCAUGUCACCAGUAUACCACACAAUCCUACGGGACAAGCAGUGGUUGAGAGAUCUAAUAGAACACUUAAGGAGAUGCUCAGCAAACAAGCUUGGAAGACUAAACCACCCAAACAUAGGUUGCAUAAUGCUUUAUUAACACUAAACUUUCUUAAUGCCAAUGAAAAAGGACAAACAGCUGCAGAAAGACACUGGACUAUGGAGAAAACCGCUGAACUGAAUCAGCCGGUAUACUUCAAAGAUGUACUAACCUCUGUAUGGAAUCCAGGACAUGUGUUACGUUGGGGUAGGGGUUUUGCAUUGGUUUCCAUAGGAGAAGAAAAACUUUGGAUACCAUCAAAGUUGAUCAAGAUUCGAGUUGAAAAGGAAAAACCUCUCCACGAGGAGAAAUGACAGUUAUUCUACUAAGGUAUAUCUUAUAAACUAAAUAGAAACCUCCCAAAGGAAAGGGAAGUGUUUUGCUUUUAUCUUCACAGGAAAUCUCAUCUCCAGAAGGCAAAGGACACUCUGUGGGUAGAUACUUAAGAAGAGAAGGUAGCUAUAACCAUCAAACAAAAGGAAGGUGCCAUAUGGUUAACUUUACAGCUGUCCCCAGAGAAUUCUAUUUCUCUUUUCUAGUCCCUAUUCAAUUAAACCAAUGCUGGAUUUAGAGGUGGAUUUGGCUUUCCCCCUCUAAAAUCCAAGCACAUUAUUUAACUAAACUUCAGAGUUUCUGUAUUGUAUCAAGAAGGCAAUUGAUGUAAUACAGAAUAAAAGAAGAAUUUGGGAACUGUCUUUGUCGUUUCUUGGAUCUUACUUUCAAGGUGUAUACCCUCUCAUAAUUGUUAUGCUCCCAUGGUUGCCUUUCCCAGUAUGUGUACAUCACAAGCAAACAGUUCUCUGAUAACUGUUUAUGUUUGAGUCCCACGCAGCCAAUGAAGACCUCCCUGACAGCAAUCCCUGGAUACCCCGGAAAGAAAAUGGGCCACACCUCCUCGCCUGCACUAGAUUCAACUUGCUCCAUUUCAACUGACACUCCCGCCAGAGCUUCAGGUACUGACUUCAAUCAAGUUGAGGAUUUCAAGUGAGAUCUUCAAUCAACCAAAUCCCAUCUAACAUGGACUGUAUACAAUUCAUGCAAGACUUUUACUAUACUAACAUUUUUUUUCCUACAGGACUGCACAAGGAUGUAGUCGUCCCAUUUCAGCAGGAAGUAACUUGGAGGAUGCUAUGCCCCCUUUCCCCAUUGUUGUCAUUUAGGAUAGUGUAUAUAACUAGUUAGGGAUAGCUUCCUAUUGUUUAUGAUUGGGAUUGGAAGGAGGUAUUCAGGCUUGGACACCUCUUUCAGAUGACUUUAGGGUUUAGUUAAAAUAGAUAGAUAGGAUGUGACAUGAGCAGAUUGUUGUAUCUUCUUAAAUUUCACCUUUGUAAUUGUUAAUUUUGGAUACUUUACACUGUUAAGUUUUAAUCCUCUUUUAGACUAAAAGGGGAAUUGUAGGGGAACCUUAGCCACGCCUACUUAGGGGCUGGCUACAGGUCUGCCUAACCAUGCCUGCUAGGGCAUGGUCAGGGUGACGUAGAGUGAGAGGUUCAGGGCUGUGUUUCACUUUCGGUUUUCCUUUUUGGCUCGCUGUACAGACUGCUGCCGCACCGGCUGGCUAGGUUGCUCUGUAAGUAAGACUUUUCCCUAUUAAAUACUCUUAUAUUUCUACUUGACUCUGUAUUGGUAAUUUCCCACUUUAAUAACCUUUAUCCAGAGAAAUGGUGUGAGCAAGUCCUGGG